AUGUUAUUUUCUUACACAUUUUAUUUUUUAUUUAAAAACACAAAACACCAAAAAAACAAAAAAAAAAAAAAGGAAAAAAAAAAAAAAAAAAAAAAAAAAAAAAAAAAAAAAAAAAAAAAAAAAAAAAAGGAUCCUCCUCGCACGAUGGCGUUUUUCUGCUCUCGGGGUAAGGAGCCAGGGGAGCAGCGGGCCCCAUCCGGGUGGUCCCACGCCUCGGGGACACAUCCCAUGGGAAGGCCACAGGAGCGGGGGGAUGGCGAGGGAGGUGUCGCGUCCCCCCCCGGGCGGGGCUGGUCCCCACGCGUGGGGUGGCUGUGCCCAUCCCCCCGAAAUCAGGGCCUGCGAUGCUAUGCAAUAAUGGGGGGCGAGCCCCGGCCGGGGGGGUGCGGGAGGAGGGACACGGGCACUCCCCGCGUCCCUGCGCUUCCACAAGCACUUUGGGCACCUGCGGGGGUGACAAAACACUUUAGGUGUGGCUUGUUCGGGCUGUCGCAGCGAUGGGGGCACCCAGGGAAUCCGUUCCCUCCUUCCCUCCCCCCAAAACGUGAGCGGGGCAGGGCUGGCGCUGUGGGGAUGGUGAGCGCAGCCGGGGUGCCCCGCACCCCAAAGUCUGGGAGGCCAAGGAAGGGCUCUCCUCGUCCAGCUGGGGCUCUGGGGGCGCUGCUUUCUCCCCUUCCACACGAGUUGUUUACAUGGGGUGGGAUUUUCAUCCAAAGAGGGGUCCGGGUUGCUGGAGUCCCCGAGGGGGAAGCCUCUGUCACCACGCGUGUCACUGCUGAUGCUGCCACUUUACUUCGCUUCGUUAGAGAAGCGCCGGGCCCCGACAUUCCUGUGCCGUGUGAUGUGUUGUGUGCGGCUGCUGAGACCGUGAUGAAGUGUCCUUUAUCCUGUGCUUUGCUUUUGGCCGGGAGGUGGAAUCGUGCAUUCGCUGCUGAAGCCAGGAAGGAGCCGAGCAGCCCCGGAGAGGUGGCGGGGCUGGGGUUGGGACACCCAGGGUGGCUCAGGGCACAGGGGGGUCCUGCCAGGGCUCCUGGCAUUGGAGACUUGGGAGAGCUGAGUCUGGUACCCAAAUAUUCUGCUUUGCUGUAG
RNAcentral lists this long non-coding RNA (1089 nucleotides) under Parus major (Great Tit). RNAcentral describes it as "lncRNA (ENSPMJG00000012212.1)". The record is from RNAcentral. Lineage: Eukaryota; Metazoa; Chordata; Aves; Passeriformes; Paridae.